UAUUAUGGAGAGUUUGAUCCUGGCUCAGGACGAACGCUGGCGGCAUGCCUAAUACAUGCAAGUCGAGCGAACUGUUGGAA
This 80-nucleotide ribosomal RNA is filed under the name Sporosarcina sp. P1. RNAcentral describes it as "partial 16S ribosomal RNA". It matches the Rfam family "Bacterial small subunit ribosomal RNA", at positions 1 to 79 of the family's 1533-position model. The record is from RNAcentral. Lineage: Bacteria; Bacillati; Bacillota; Bacilli; Caryophanales; Caryophanaceae.